Molecule: ribosomal RNA, 253 nt
Filed under: uncultured bacterium
Lineage: Bacteria
Description: partial 16S ribosomal RNA
Rfam family: Bacterial small subunit ribosomal RNA
Source: RNAcentral
UACGGAGGAGGCAAGCGUUAUCCGGAAUUAUUGGGCGUAAAGCGUCCGCAGGUGGCACUUCAAGUCUGUCGUCAAAGACUGGGGCUUAACCCUGGAAAGGCCGUGGAAACUGAAGAGCUAGAGUGCAGUAGGGGUAGAGGGAAUUCCCGGUGUAGCGGUGAAAUGCGUAGAGCUCGGGAAGAACAUCGGUGGCGAAAGCGCUCUGCUGGACUGCAACUGACACUCAGGGACGAAAGCUAGGGGAGCGAAUGGG